Molecule: ribosomal RNA, 397 nt
Filed under: Sulfuricaulis sp.
Lineage: Bacteria; Pseudomonadati; Pseudomonadota; Gammaproteobacteria; Acidiferrobacterales; Acidiferrobacteraceae
Description: bacterial SSU rRNA
Rfam family: Bacterial small subunit ribosomal RNA
Source: RNAcentral
UAUUUGGAGAGUUUGAUCCUGGCUCAGAUUGAACGCUGGCGGCAUGCCUAACACAUGCAAGUCGCACGCGAAAGGGGGCAACCCUGAGUAGAGUGGCGGACGGGUGAGUAACGCGUAGGAAUAUACCUGGUAGUGGGGGACAACCCGGUGAAAACCGGGCUAAUACCGCAUACGAUCCACGGAUGAAAGCAGGGGACCGCAAGGCCUUGCGCUAUCAGAUUAGCCUGCGUCGGAUUAGCUAGUUGGUGAGGUAACGGCUCACCAAGGCGACGAUCCGUAGCUGGUUUGAGAGAACGACCAGCCACACCGGAACUGAGACACGGUCCGGACUCCUACGGGAGGCAGCAGUGGGGAAUAUUGGACAAUGGGGGCAACCCUGAUCCAGCAAUGCCGCGUG